RNA transcript from Manis pentadactyla (Chinese pangolin), 3011 nucleotides. It is a transcript of the gene named diphthamide biosynthesis 7, with no coding region annotated. The record is from RefSeq and is a predicted model, not a curated record. NCBI's taxonomy places the organism in Eukaryota, Metazoa, Chordata, Mammalia, Pholidota, Manidae. The transcript is spliced from 10 exons.
GCAGUUGGUCCUAUGGACAGCAGCUGGCUUGAGCCCUUGGGACAUUCCCAAUGCUGGGGUGACUCCUGCUUCCAGAGUUGGGGUUUGGGUGGUCUGCCAGCCGUGGGUCCAAGGGUGCUGAGGCAGUCUGCUUUCAAGUAGAAAGGCCCUGGGCAAGGUGCUGGAAUGCAGGCCCUGGGUUUGCCUUUGGGGAGGGGCCAGGUUGGCACUCCUGGCUACAUCCCUGGCCACAAAUUGUCCCAUCGGAAGGGAAUGCCCAGGGGCCCUUGGCUGACCUGUAGAGCACCAUACGGUCCUGACCACCCUGCUGCUUUCUGCUGUGUCACAUGGCUGACCCGGGAUUGCUGUCCAGUGUGGCUGCCAGGAGCUGGUGCUGCGGUUGACUGCCAUUCCUGUCUGAUCCUGCCGUGCCCUGGUGCCGUUUGUUGGAGAGGCCCAAGUCUGUGCUGGUGGAGGACCCUGGUGCGAGCUGGGAAGCUGGCAGUGGGGGUUACAGUUUCCCAUGGGACACGCCUUCCCUUGGCUCACGGUGCCAUCGUGGCCCCUGGAGUGGACACUGCCGUGCAGGUGUCCACAGGCACUUCUGCGCAGCUUGCCUCCCUUUUCCCUUAUCUGAUACUCAGCUCCUAGUUUCUUUUCUGAUGGCACCAGUCUCUUCAUCUUUGUAGUCAUACAUGUGAGAGCGUCUUUGAAAGUUGAACAUCCAGAUGGUUAAAAAUGGGCUUGUUUCUGUUUGGACUGUGGUGUAUGGGGGCCGCUUGACCUGACCAUUUUUGUACCAGAGAGAUGUGUGGUUCAGCCACAUCAGAAUGUCCUGUUGAUUCUUGACCAACCUUUAAUUCUUAUCUGCUUCGGUUGCCAUCUGAGCUGCUGACUCAUUCCUGUAUUUCUAGCUGUAGCCCUGCUUCAAAACCACAGGCCGAAAACCUGCACCCACGUGGAUCUCCAUCUGGGCAUGUCCGGUUCCUGGGAGCUGCCCUAGCAAGCUGGGCGGCUCGGUCCUGUAGGCCAGAAGCCUCAUCUCAGGGUGGCAGGACCGUGCCCCCCUCCAAGGCACUGGGAGGCGUGUAAGGCCUUUUGCCUUGUAGAUGCAUCACAUGGUCUCCCCUCUGGAAAGGCUGGUCCCCGGCCGACCAAAUGUCCUUUCCGAAAGGACACGGUCCUUUUGGUUAGCCCACCCCCACCCCAUGAAUCAUUUUGAUUGGAUUAUACUUCUUUUCAGAGGACACAAUUCAAUCCAUGACAACGUCUGAAACCUGCCUUCCCCAAGCCUGUUCUGUGUGCUGAUUUUCUUCAAUGGCGUCAGCCCCUGAUCAGCCUCCCAAAUCAGGCCACGGCUGUGCUGGGCCUCCUCCCUUAUGCCCUCAGUCCGUACCUGGCUCCUGGCCCUGCCGCCCUCUGUUCCCCGCGGUGCCACUCCAGGCACCCCCCGCUGGCCCCAUGCCCCUGCACUGCCGUCCUGGCAGCAGGCAGGCCUUCCUGCCCCAUGGGCGGCCGCCUAGGUGGACGGAGGCCUGCCUCGAGUCCUGCCUCGGCUGCCCAGGUCCUUCGCACACCUCCACUUGACACGACCCUGCUUUCCGCCUCCGCUGACCUCUCAGAACCCCCUUCCGGCGCCCCGCGUCUCCCACCCGAGUACCGGGAGGGCCGCUGCGGUCCGCCGGCCGGCAGGGGGCGCCGGGGCCCGGCUUGCCCAGUGAGCCAGGGUGGCCGGAAGUGCUGUCCCGGAAGGGGGCGGGCGCGCGGUUGCGGAAGUGGGGAGUACCGGGCUGAGCAGUCUUCGGCUUGCAGCAGCUCUAGCGCCCCGGCCUCGCAGCACCCUCGACCCGCUCUCAACCUGGCUUCGUCACUCCGCCUCCGCUGCCCGGUCGCCGCCGAGUCCGUCGACUACUGGGCAGCGGGCAGCCGUAUCCGGCUGUUACAGGCGGUCGACACGGAGUACACCGCGGACUCGGUGGAGUGGUGCCCGCUGGACGGCUGCAGGCACUUGCUGGCGUGCGGCACCUACCAGCUGCGGAAGCCGGGGGACCAGCCCGCCGGCCCGGGGAGCAAGAGCGAAUUGGACGUUGAUGAGCCUCAAAUCCGUUUAGGUCGUCUUUAUCUGUAUAGUUUCAGCGAGGACAGCGCUGCUUGCCCCCUGGUUGAGAUCCAAAGAAGAGACACUUCUGCAAUCCUGGAUCUGAAAUGGUGCCACAUCCCAGUGGCCAGCCAUGCCCUCUUGGGUGUGGCAGAUGCUGGUGGGACCAUAGAGCUGCUCCGCUUGGUGAGAUCUGAGAACACUUACACACUGCAGCCGUUUUCCCACCUCGCCCUGGAGAAGCAGUGUCUGGCCUUGUCCCUGGACUGGUCUACUGGGAGAACUGGAAGGGCCAGUGACCAGCCCCUGAACAUCGUUAGCAGCGACUCCACGGGACAGCUGCACCUCCUGAAGGUAGAUGACACUGCGCUGCGGGGUGUGGCCACGUGGCAGGCCCACUGCUUUGAGGCCUGGAUUGCUGCUUUCAAUUACUGGCAGACAGAAAUCGUGUACUCAGGUGGGGAUGAUGGUCUUCUGAAAGGCUGGGACACCAGGACACCUGGCGCACCUGUGUUCACCAGCAAGAGACACUCCAUGGGUGUGUGCAGCAUCCAGAGUAGUCCCCACUGGGAAAACGUCUUGGCCACGGGGAGCUAUGACGAGCACAUUCUGCUGUGGGACACACGGGCCAUGAAGCAGCCGUUUGCGGACAUUCCUGCGCAGGGUGGUGUCUGGAGGCUCAGGUGGCACCCAUACCACCAGCACCUACUUCUGGCAGCAUGUAUGCAUGGUGGCUUCAAGAUCUUCAACUGCCAAAAGGCAAUAGAUGAGUGAAAUCAUUUGGUACUUGUCUUUCUCUGCCUGGCUUAUUUCACUGAGCAUAAUACCCUCUAGCUCCAUCCAUGUUGUUGCAAAUGAGGAGAAGCAGGAAGUGUGCACAGUCUCUGGGUCCCACCCGUCGCCCGACUCGUUGGUGUAUGGAGCCGACUGGUCC